Molecule: ribosomal RNA, 253 nt
Filed under: uncultured bacterium
Lineage: Bacteria
Description: partial 16S ribosomal RNA
Rfam family: Bacterial small subunit ribosomal RNA
Source: RNAcentral
UACGGAGGGUGCAAGCGUUAUCCGGAUUCACUGGGUUUAAAGGGUGCGUAGGUGGGCAGGUAAGUCAGUGGUGAAAUCUCCGGGCUUAACCCGGAACUGCCGUUGAUACUAUUUGUCUUGAAUAUUGUGGAGGUAAGCGGAAUAUGUCAUGUAGCGGUGAAAUGCUUAGAUAUGACAUAGAACACCAAUUGCGAAGGCAGCUUAACUACAACAACGAUUGACGCUGAGGCACGAAAGCGUGGGAUCAAACAGG